Molecule: long non-coding RNA, 401 nt
Organism: Paramisgurnus dabryanus
Lineage: Eukaryota; Metazoa; Chordata; Actinopteri; Cypriniformes; Cobitidae
Source: RefSeq, a predicted model, not a curated record
AUGCAAACAUGCAACAUCAUUACACACAGUAAAAGGAGUCAGACUGGCAUAUGAGGAGCAAAGGAACCCAGGCAGUAGCAUCGUUUCACAAUGUUUCCAUCACCAUCAUCAGUGGAUGCCUUUGCCGUCCGUAGCCUGAGAUUUCAGAUUUGCAGCAAAAAAAAAUUGAUUUUCUCAUUUAUUGGAAUGCUGUGCAGGUUGUACCUUGCAGCCAUCCAUUACAAUGUCACCAAGCCGUAACAAAAGCAGGAGAGGGAAAGUACAAGGCUAUGUUCCCAAAACACACAAAUGACAUACCUUAUGUGGAGGAUGUGAUCAGGCUUGUGUUUGAUGAGGUAUUUGAAGAUAAGUUGAAGGAAACCCCGAUUCCAAUGGACCUGGCAUCACAGUUUGAGAGACCA